RNAcentral lists this long non-coding RNA (3577 nucleotides) under Olea europaea subsp. europaea. Lineage: Eukaryota; Viridiplantae; Streptophyta; Magnoliopsida; Lamiales; Oleaceae. The record is from RNAcentral.
AUUCCCCUCACUCUACAUUUCUCCCACGGCUCUACUCGUCUGUGUCUCUCGAACUACAGGGCAUUGCCGACAGUAACCUUCAAUUGAUUGACAUAGCAUCAAUCAUCAAUUAUUGAGAAUCUUCUCUAAGCUAAACUGUCUAAGAUUUAUCUCUUUUAGAAUUUUUUUUCUUCUCCAUUACUUUUAUUGCUACCAUUUUGGUGUCUCCAGAAAGUUGUAUUGGGAAUUUCAUUAGACUGCAUUUGGCUGAAAUUUGUGUGAGUUUUGUAGUGGAGGGAACUUGUAAUUAGGUAAAGCAUAAUCCAUUAUAAUUCAUAUUUUUGUUGAUAGUUAGUAUCCUAUUUCGAUUUUAAGUUAGGAUUACUAGGUUAUGCUGCUUUUGUAGUGGAAGAUCAGGUUUUUUAUAUUUGAGACUUACCUUCAAUGUUGGAACUUUUAAUUUGUAAAUGGCAAAAUACAACCUUUGAAUCAGUGAGUUUGCACUUGUAGUAGAUGGUCAGGUUUCAUAGGCUUGCUUUGAAUGAUGGAGCUUUUAUUUAGUAAAUGGCAAAGUACAACCUUUGAAUAAUGAGACUAGAUUUCAUAAUUUUUGUUGACAGACAUAUCAUAUCUCUAUUGUCAAGUUAAGAUUGAUGGGCUAUAGUGCAAUAAUAGAGUGGAAUAUCAGGUUAUUUCGAUGUACACUAAAUGUAUAAACUCUCUAGAUCCGCCCCUGUGGGUAAGUAAAAUAAAGAGAGUGUUAGGGGAAUUUCAAGUAGAGAAAAUGCUUAGAAAUUUGGAGUAUUGUGGAAGAAUGUAUAUCUAUUUUUACCUUGUAGAGUGCAAUAUAAACUUGCAUAGUUUUGGGUCUGGGAAAAAAAUAUUAAAUCCUGAGUAGAGACUUGCUUCAUUUUAUUGAUGUUUCUUGUUUUUGCUAUUUAAUAAUCUGGGAAAUUUUACUAGUAUAGUUUCAGAUUUUCUAAUUUUUCUUAUGUUGUUUACUUAGCGAGCUUAAUCAUAAGAAGAAAUUACCAACAAAUGAUGUGUUUAUACUUGCUCAUCAUGCUCAGCAAGUAUAUUUCACACGUUUUCCAAUGAAGGCUAGAGAUAUACUUGAUUGGUGGGCGGUUUUGAACACAAAAGCAAGAAAAUGUUCCCAAUAUACAUGGAAUCAUAUUGGAGAAUGAAGAGUGUAAUGUGUGGGUGGAACUUGCAUUCCAAGAGGAUCAACUACCAUCUACCCAAAAACCCCUUCGAAUAAAUUCAGAAUUUGAUGGCCAAAAUUUAGUUCAUAAUGAUAUUGGGGCUGAAGAAGUGGAUGUGGCUGAAUCUAGGAUCUUUGAUGUAGAUUCUGAAAGGCAUGAUGUAGAAGAAAAUACACAACUGGAGGACAUUGACAGUAGUGAUGGUUUCACAACAUGUGCAAGUGAAGUAGAAAAUUGUACUGUUAUUAUUCUUGUCAAUUUUAGUUCAAGUUUUUAGUUUAUUGUUCUUGUCAUUGUUCAUAUUUUUCGUUGGCUGAAUGUGGGAAACAUUUGACAUGUUUGUGGAAAAGGGAAUAAUGGCCAGGCUGGACAAUAAGCUGGGUGAUGUUUUGGUUCAAGAGACAGGAUAAUGGUGUAUGCCAACUCAACUUCUAGUGAAUGUGCCCAUUCUUAAUUUGACAGGUGGAGUUUCUUUUAUCUAUGUUUGAGAAAUUUAGUUUUACUGGUUUCUUUUAUCUAUGUUUGAGAAAUUUAGUGAUAUAGUAAAAUUAUGUUUUUUCGUAACUAUAUUUGACAAAUUGAGUAAUUUUGACAAAUGAUGAAUCAGUAACUUUUAUCUCUGUUGAAAAAUUUAGUUACAUAGUAAAAUCAUGUUGGUAACUAUAAUUGACAAAUUGAGUAAUUUUGACAAAUGAUGAAUCAGGAACUUGGAAUUGGAUAUACUACAGCAGCUUGAGCCAUGUCAAUGACAAGCAUAAUCUCCUAACCAAACCUGAGUGUUGCCCCUUGUAAUCUGCUGGAUAAGAUUGAAAUUUUAUUAUUAUUAUUAUUAUUAUUAUUAUUAUUAUUUUUAUUUAUUUAUUUUUUUUUUUUUUUCCUUUCAAUCUAAAAGUAUUGAUUGCUGCCCUGAACUCAUGUUGGACACAAUAUGUUCUGUUGGAAGCCCCUUGUAUUGUAUUGUAUUUGAGACCUCUUUUGCCUUGGAAGUUUAGCAUUUUUUCUUUAGUUCUAUUUCUAUGUUAUUGGUUCUAAAUUCGAGAAACUACCUGUGAGGACUUCAGCUGAAUCAAAUAUUGCUCUAUAUAGGGUUAUAUUUAGUUAGACCAGUCAUAUAGGGUGAUGGGUAUUUAUGGAAUUCAGCACCAAAAUAAGAAUUGAAGUGGUUAGAUUUCCGUUUUCCAAUCAUCCGAAAAUUGGUUGUGAUAAUAGGACCAAGCUCAUUCAUAACAUCAGUACACAAACCCCUAAUAGCACCCAUGUCUUACAUUUAGUUGAUGUUAAACAAUCAAUUCCUUCAAUUCAAUUUUUUAUAUUUUUAUAUAUAUUUUUUUAAAGUAGAAGUAAAGAUUACUUAGGUAGAGAUCAUUUUUUUUUUUUUUUUUUUUUUGGGUUCAAAUGAAUUAGUUUUUGAGUCGAUUUUCCUAUAAAAACGGCCUGCAUUCAGAACUCCUGGUGCAAACCCUUAUCUGGAGACAAAUCUGAUGUAGGUUGCAUAUCAUGAUUUAUAACUAGACUCACUUGCUCUUUGGUGAAUCUUUGGUCAUUUUUAACAGAUCUGAAAGCAGAAUGAUACAAACCAAUAAUUGUAGAUGUUGUUUCUAACUCAUCUUUCACGAUUGGUAGGUGUGCUGAAAGCUUAGUAGUGGAGGAACCUAUAUCUAUGGUAUUGCUGACUCCAUUUUAGAUUUGAAGAAGAAGAUGUUUAGUUGAUUGAGCUUGUAUACUGGAGACUGACUGACUUCACAACUUUUACACUAUUGUCAACUGUAUAACUGCUUGAUGUUAGUCCACCAUUAGGAGCCUUGAAAAAAUUUGAGGAUUUAUUGUACCUACAAAGAAAGAGGCUCAAACAACUAGCUGAUUCUGUCAUCAAUUUCAAUAGUAGAAAUCAGUUAGCUAAUUUUUUUCCUUGCACUGAUAGAUUUUAACUAAUUCCUUUUGUCUGCAUCAGUACUUCAUAUACACGAAUUAAAUGCUAAUUUUUUAUCCACAUAAUGAUAGAGAAAUCAUGACUUCAAUACGAGAAAUUUAUAUAUAUUAUGCAUGACAUGCUAUUUGAUUUAUUCCUAAAUCAAGAAUCUUUUAAACUAAACUCUUCAUUUAUUGUUGUUUUCAGCAUGAGAAAUUAGGCAAGCCACAUAUUACUUCAAAGUUAUUCGAACGUGUACACCAUCGAAACAAAGGAGAAGGAGACUUCUUAGACAUCAAGUCACUAAUUGUGUGGGUAAGUAGAAAUAAAUCCUGUUUUCAUUAGACUUUACACUCUAAAUGUCAUGUUAUUAGCUAGCUAGUCCUAGACACUAAAUGGUGGUUGAAUGAUUUGUAAAUAUUAUGCCCUAAGUCCAAUCAAUUUUGGACGAAAGAACUUUGAAUAUAUAGUUGAUGCAAUUUCA